GUUAGCUCUGUUUUCAAGGGUGAUUUAACGUUGUAUUAUUUAAAAAAAAUUUAUUUCAAUUUUAUGCAUUUGUGACACCAAUGUAGCACAAACAACUUCAUAAAUUGCCACGCUCAUUUAUGUGACUAGCAAACGUUGACUAACUUUAGCUACAGUCCACAUUACUGAUAGCAUCGUUCUGUAUCCUAAACAUUGACAUGGCAAGUAUAAGCAAAUCCACUGGAAAAACUCCUAAAAAGGACACGAGAUCCCGGACUCCUCCAGAGAAGAACCGUCUCAGGGGGUCAGAGGAGUCUUCGUCGUUCGCGUGUGAAGAGCAGCCUCAGAGCCCCACUCUGAAAGGAGAAGAUAUCCAGGCCCUGGCCAUCCGACCAGAGGACCUGGAGAAGUUCCGGGUACCCCAGCCCCCUAAAGAACCCCAGAAACCUUCAGCAGUGACCCGGGUGCUGGUGCGUAAGACACGCCCACCUGAUGACAUCAGGAAGGGGAGGACGGUGGCGGUGGCUCGCCCCCUGACCACGGACAGCACAACACACCCUCUGGACUACACGGGACCAGGAGGACCUCGCUUCGACGCCCACGGGAUGGUCCUCCCCCACAGCAUUCUGGGUAGUCUGGAGGACUUCAGGAUGGAGAUGCAGGCCAGGGGAGAGACUGAGCUGGUGAGGCGGGUGCCAGCCCCCCAGGGAGGUCGCCCCCCUGUCUUGGUUGGGGGGCUGGGUCAGAGGGGUGCGGAGACGCCCCCUCCUCACCCAAUGGGCCAGAGAGAUGUCCAGAGCCACGCCCUGGAGCACUGGCGCUCACACAUGGCAGCCAGACGACACCAGCAGGACCUCAUCUCCAACCUGCUGCAGAAACCAGUAGAGUGUCUGUUGAUGACCCAGACCAGCCGUUUCAGGGAGAUCCAGGAGCAGAGAGAAGUCGUCUCCCGGGCCCUGCCAUCCAGACACCCUGGACAGGGCUACCGUGUGGGCAGUGAGUUCUGGAGCCUCCCCCAGAGGUUUGGUGAUGAGCUGAGUGGCAUAUCAGCCACCCUGACCAGGACACAGAGAGGACAAUGGGAACCUGUCACACACAUCGCUCAGCCCCAGAGCGUCCGCAAGGAGACAGGCCUCGUGACCCCAGAGAAGGUCUGUUCGGCCAGCAGGACCUGGAAUCAGAGUCAGUACCUGCAGGAGCAACGACAUGAGCUCAGAGACGUCCUCAAAGACCUGGACUUCAACCAGCCUGAGAUAGAUGGACUGGAGGUGAUUGGCUCAGCACAGCCCUUCACGUCUGUCAUGGUGAAACGGAGCCCCCUAUUGGAGGAGGAGGAGGAAAGGGAAGAGCUUAAGAGAGCAGAGCAGGAGAACAAUGACCCGCUGUCGCAGUUUGAUGAUGUCAUGCUGGACAUGCUGCUGGUGCCUGCGUUAAGGUUCUGCGGUGAACCUGCCCGCUGGACCGGCAACUCUACCUCUCACAAGGGGGAGGUGGGCAUCAGUGCCCGUGUGACGUUUGAGGCCCUGGCGGGAGAGAGGAGCAGUUCCCACCUGGUUCUGCAGAACGAGGGCAGCACAGCCAUUUACUACAGCUGGCAGCGCCUGCCGUUACCGCACAACUUCCCCGACGCCAGGACACGCACGCACACUCAACACUUUUACUUCGACACCUCCACGGGUGUGAUUCUACCAGGGUCCAGCCGGCACGUUGAGUUCAUAUUUAAGUCAGACGUCCCGGGCAUCAGGAGUGAAGUGUGGCGUCUCAACACACACCCUGUCCUGCUGGGAGGAGCCUCCAUGCAGGUCACACUGAGGGGCGUGGCCACCUACCUGGAUAAGACAGCAGACCAAAGACACGCCUUGGAGAGAGAGCUGCAGCAGAGGGAAGCUGUGUCGGUGUGUCGGUCGUUGGUGUCUGAUGUGUUGCGAGGCGUCCGGACACCAGACAGACCCAGCUCACCUGCUGAGCUCUACACCACCGAGGAAGAACACUUCCACCACAGAAACCCAGAGUUGCAGUACCAUUAUGAGGCUGUGGGGGCGCUGAAGAGACUGUGGCAGGAGGUGACCUCUGAAGGAGAGGACAGAGGAACAGCAUGGGACCUCUCCAUGUCCACACUACGACAGGCGGCGCUGUCUCUGCCCCAGGGGGAGGGGGAGCCAGAUGGACCCCAGCAGAGGCUCACCAGAGACGGGGCUCUGAGCCACUACAACACCCUGCUCCUGGAGCUCAGCCAGCCCCUCGUACAGCACACACCUCUACCAACCAAAACCAUGGUGCUUCAGUUGUGGAGAGAGCUAUUGGACAGCCUGGUCAGUCAAGCACAGUGGCUCAGACACAUACUGGGUCUGCCUGAGAACAACACCUGGGAACAACACACACACAACCACCAUGACAUCUGGAGCAAGAUGAAGAAAGAGAGGAUUGAGAAGAAGGAGGAGCCACCCAUGAAGGAGGAGAAGAAAGCAGGGAGCACCAAAGAGAAGGAGGAGAAGAAAGCAGGGAGCGCCAAAGAGAAGGAGGAGAAGACGGGAGCUGCCAAGACCCCAUUGAAGGGGGAGCAGCGUCCCGGCAGUAAGAAAAGGGGUUGUGAGGAGGCGUUGGGCGGGAAGCGUCCUGGAGGUAAACCCAGGGAGGCCUCAUCCGAGGUAGCCAGCCCUCAUACCAACUCCCCUGACCCUCAUACCGACUCCCCUGACCCUCACACUGACUCCCCCGAGCCUCACAUCGACUCCCCCGAUCCUCACAUCGACUUCGUCCUGGAGCCUGAAGUACAGGACAAAUACAAGAGACAGCUGCACCAACAGGUGUAUAUUCUGAUGGAGGGUCUGGUGGACUCUCUGUGUGUGAUGUUGGAUGAGGCUGCACAACCUCCUGGAUGAACUGACACACCUCUGAGCCCAACAACACACUCUGAUUAUGAAACCCUCUUGUUCUGAGAAUGUAUCACAAUAAAGUCAA
This is a long non-coding RNA of Esox lucius (northern pike), 2940 nucleotides long. RefSeq annotates it as mycbp associated protein. The record is from RefSeq and is a predicted model, not a curated record. Lineage: Eukaryota; Metazoa; Chordata; Actinopteri; Esociformes; Esocidae. The transcript is spliced from 20 exons.